This 465-nucleotide ribosomal RNA is filed under the name uncultured bacterium. Its description in RNAcentral is "partial 16S ribosomal RNA". It matches the Rfam family "Bacterial small subunit ribosomal RNA", at positions 338 to 795 of the family's 1533-position model. The record is from RNAcentral.
CCUACGUGGGACAGCAGUGGGGAAUAUUGCGCAAUGGGCGAAAGCCUGACGCAGCGACGCCGCGUGAGGGAUGAAGGUCUUCGGAUCGUAAACCUCUGUCAGCAGGGAAGAACGGUCACUGUGCUAAUCAGCAGUGAAUUGACGGUACCUGCAAAGGAAGCACCGGCUAACUCCGUGCCAGCAGCCGCGGUAAUACGGAGGGUGCGAGCGUUAAUCGGAAUUACUGGGCGUAAAGCGCACGUAGGCGGUAUGUCAAGUCAAGGGUGAAAUCCCCGCGCUCAACGUGGGAACUGCCUUUGAAACUGGCAAACUGGAGUGUCUGAGAGGAUAGUGGAAUUCCAGGUGUAGGAGUGAAAUCCGUAGAUAUCUGGAGGAACAUCAGUGGCGAAGGCGACUAUCUGGCACAUAACUGACGCUGAGGAGCGAAAGCGUGGGUAGCAAACAGGAUUAGAUACCCGGGUAGUC